AACGAACGCUGGCGGCAGGCUUAACACAUGCAAGUCGAACGCACCGCAAGGUGAGUGGCAGACGGGUGAGUAACGCGUGGGAAUCUACCCAGAACUUCGGAACAACUGAGGGAAACUUCAGCUAAUACCGGAUACGCCUACGGGGAAGAUUAUCGUUCUGGAUGAGCCCGCGUUGGAUUAGCUAGUUGGUGAGGUAAUGGCUCACCAAGGCGACGAUCCAUAGCUGGCUGAGAGGAUGAUCAGCCACACUGGGACUGAGACACGGCCCAGACUCCUACGGGAGGCAGCAGUGGGGAAUAUUGGACAAUGGGCGAAAGCCUGAUCCAGCCAUGCCGCGUGAGUGAUGAA
This 348-nucleotide ribosomal RNA is filed under the name uncultured bacterium. Its description in RNAcentral is "bacterial SSU rRNA". It matches the Rfam family "Bacterial small subunit ribosomal RNA", at positions 29 to 412 of the family's 1533-position model. The record is from RNAcentral.